AAGUCGUAACAAGGUUUCCGUAGGUGAACCUGCGGAAGGAUCAUUAAAAACUUUUAUCCGGGAAUUCGUUUCGUCUUCCCGGAUUAUUUGUAUUCAAAUCCCACUCUUUAUAAAUAUAUCAAUUUAUAUAAAACAAAAAUAAAAAAAAGAAAACUUUCAACAACGGAUCUCUUGGCUCUC
This 180-nucleotide unclassified non-coding RNA is filed under the name Diversispora epigaea. Its description in RNAcentral is "partial internal transcribed spacer region". The stretch from base 1 to 46 matches the Rfam family "Eukaryotic small subunit ribosomal RNA", at positions 1786 to 1831 of the family's 1831-position model. RNAcentral also lists the same sequence under 1 other name. The record is from RNAcentral. Lineage: Eukaryota; Fungi; Glomeromycota; Glomeromycetes; Diversisporales; Diversisporaceae.